This 251-nucleotide ribosomal RNA is filed under the name uncultured bacterium. Its description in RNAcentral is "partial 16S ribosomal RNA". It matches the Rfam family "Bacterial small subunit ribosomal RNA", at positions 525 to 775 of the family's 1533-position model. The record is from RNAcentral.
ACGGAGGGUGCAAGCGUUAAUCGGAAUUACUGGGCGUAAAGCGCACGCAGGCGGUCUGUCAAGUCGGAUGUGAAAUCCCCGGGCUCAACCUGGGAACUGCAUUCGAAACUGGCAGGCUAGAGUCUUGUAGAGGGGGGUAGAAUUCCAGGUGUAGCGGUGAAAUGCGUAGAGAUCUGGAGGAAUACCGAUGGCGAAGGCAGCCAUCUGGCCUAAUACUGACGCUGAGGUACGAAAGCAUGGGGAGCAAACAG